AAGCAAAACUCUGGGGCAGAUGAUGAAAACUGUCUGACACAUUUUGAACUCAGCAUAGCAGCAAAGUCUAACCUAUUCAGGUGCUCUCUCCUUUACAGAACAAACCCUUAUAUAGACUUACUGU
Small nucleolar RNA from Artibeus jamaicensis (Jamaican fruit-eating bat), 124 nucleotides. RefSeq annotates it as small nucleolar RNA SNORA28. The transcript has a single exon. Lineage: Eukaryota; Metazoa; Chordata; Mammalia; Chiroptera; Phyllostomidae. The record is from RefSeq and is a predicted model, not a curated record.